Molecule: ribosomal RNA, 882 nt
Filed under: uncultured Thermoprotei archaeon
Lineage: Archaea; Thermoproteati; Thermoproteota; Thermoprotei
Description: bacterial SSU rRNA
Rfam family: Archaeal small subunit ribosomal RNA
Source: RNAcentral
UUCCGGUGUGAUCCUGCCGGACCCUACUGCUAUCGGGGUGGGACUAAGCCAUGCGAGUUGAACGUCUCACAGCCACGAGUGAGACGUAGCAUACGGCUCAGUAACACGUGGUUAACCUACCCUUGAGACGGAGACAACCCCGGGAAACUGGGGCUAAUCUCCGAUAGACGAAAACUCCUGGAAUGGGUUUUCGUUCAAAAGGCGUUAUGGUCAUGCUCCAUGACGUUGCUCAAGGAUGGGGCCGCGGCCGAUCAGGUAGUUGGUGAGGUAACGGCUCACCAAGCCUAUAACCGGUUCGGGCCGUGAGAGCGGGAGCCCGGAGAUGGGCACUGAGACAAGGGCCCAGGCCCUACGGGGCGCAGCAGUCGCGAAACCUCCGCAAUACGCGAAAGCAUGACGGGGCCAUCCCGAGUGCCGUCCGCUGAGGAUGGCUUUUCCCCAGUGUAGAUAGCUGGGGGAAUAAGGAGAGGGCAAGUCUGGUGUCAGCCGCCGCGGUAAUACCAGCUCUCCGAGUGGUGGGGACGUUUAUUGGGCUUAAAGCAUCCGUAGCCGGCUGGGCAAGUCCCCUGUUAAAUCUAACGAUUCAAUCGUUGGAUUGCGGGGGAUACUGCUCGGCUAGGGGGCGGGAGAGGCCGACGGUAUUCCCGGGGUAGGGGUGAAAUCCUAUAAUCCCGGGAGGACCACCAGUGGCGAAGGCUGUCGGCUAGAACGCGCCCGACGGUGAGGGAUGAAAGCUGGGGGAGCGAACCGGAUUAGAUACCCGGGUAGUCCCAGCUGUAAACGAUGCAGCUAGUGUUCGGGCGGCCACGUGCCGCUCGAGUGCCGCAGGGAAACUGUUAAGCCUGCUGCCUGGGGAGUACGGCCGCAAGGCUGAAACUUAAA